AUCCUACGGGAGGCAGCAGUGGGGAAUAUGCACAAUGGGCGCAAGCCUGAUGCAGCCAUGCCGCGUGUAUGAAGAAGGCCUUCGGGUUGUAAAGUACUUUCAGCAGUGAGGAAGGUGGAUAUGUUAAUAGCAUAUUCAUUUGACGUUAGCUGCAGAAGAAGCACCGGCUAACUCCGUGCCAGCAGCCGCGGUAAUACGGAGGGUGCGAGCGUUAAUCGGAAUUACUGGGCGUAAAAGCGCAUGCAGGUGGUUUGUUAAGUCAGAUGUGAAAGCCCGGGGCUCAACCUCGGAAUUGCAUUUGAAAACUGGCAAACUAGAGUACUGUAGAGGGGGUAGAAUUUCAGGUGUAGCGGUGAAAAUGCGUAGAGAUCUGAAGGAAUACCGGUGGCGAAGGCGGCCCCCUGGACAGAUACUGACACUCAGAUGCGAAAGCGUGGGGAGCAAACAGGAUUAGAUACCCUGGUAG
RNAcentral lists this ribosomal RNA (466 nucleotides) under uncultured bacterium. RNAcentral describes it as "bacterial SSU rRNA". It matches the Rfam family "Bacterial small subunit ribosomal RNA", at positions 335 to 793 of the family's 1533-position model. The record is from RNAcentral.